RNAcentral lists this ribosomal RNA (301 nucleotides) under uncultured bacterium. RNAcentral's name for it is "partial 16S ribosomal RNA". It matches the Rfam family "Bacterial small subunit ribosomal RNA", at positions 509 to 807 of the family's 1533-position model. The record is from RNAcentral.
CAGUAGCCGCGGUAAUACGUAGGGUGCAAGCGUUAAUCGGAAUUACUGGGCGUAAAGCGUGCGCAGGCGGUUAUAUAAGACAGAUGUGAAAUCCCCGGGCUUAACCUGGGAACUGCAUUUGUGACUGUAUAGCUAGAGUACGGCAGAGGGGGAUGGAAUUCCGCGUGUAGCAGUGAAAUGCGUAGAUAUGCGGAGGAACACCGAUGGCGAAGGCAAUCCCCUGGGCCUGUACUGACGCUCAUGCACGAAAGCGUGGGGAGCAAACAGGAUUAGAUACCCGCGUAGUCCCUGUCUCUUAUAC